This 155-nucleotide ribosomal RNA is filed under the name Paurocotylis pila. RNAcentral describes it as "5.8S ribosomal RNA". It matches the Rfam family "5.8S ribosomal RNA". Rfam says of the family: 5.8S ribosomal RNA (5.8S rRNA) is a component of the large subunit of the eukaryotic ribosome. It is transcribed by RNA polymerase I as part of the 45S precursor that also contains 18S and 28S rRNA. RNAcentral also lists the same sequence under 8 other names. The record is from RNAcentral. Lineage: Eukaryota; Fungi; Ascomycota; Pezizomycetes; Pezizales; Tarzettaceae.
AAACUUUCAACAACGGAUCUCUUGGUUCUCGCAUCGAUGAAGAACGCAGCGAAAUGCGAUAAGUAGUGUGAAUUGCAGAAUUCAGUGAAUCAUCGAAUCUUUGAACGCACAUUGCGCCCUCUGGUAUUCCGGGGGGCAUGCCUGUUCGAGCGUCA